ACUCCUACGGGAGGCAGCAGUGGGGAAUUUUGGACAAUGGGGGAAACCCUGAUCCAGCCAUGCCGCGUGAGUGAUGAAGCCUUUAGGGUUGUAAGCUCUUUCACCGGGGAAGAUAAUGGCCGGACCCGGAGAAGAAGCCCCGGCUAACUUCGUGCCAGCAGCCGCGGUAAUCAUCCGUGCCAGCAGCCGCGGUAAU
This 196-nucleotide ribosomal RNA is filed under the name uncultured Alphaproteobacteria bacterium. Its description in RNAcentral is "partial 16S ribosomal RNA". It matches the Rfam family "Bacterial small subunit ribosomal RNA", at positions 335 to 551 of the family's 1533-position model. The record is from RNAcentral. Lineage: Bacteria; Pseudomonadati; Pseudomonadota; Alphaproteobacteria.